Molecule: long non-coding RNA, 1463 nt
Filed under: Homo sapiens (human)
Lineage: Eukaryota; Metazoa; Chordata; Mammalia; Primates; Hominidae
Description: HSALNT0189962
Source: RNAcentral
CAUUCGGUAUCAGCUUCUGUCCCUGGUUCUCAGCCUCUGUCCCUGGUUCUUCCCAUCUCUCAGGCCAAGGUGAGGGCUUCCCACCUGCCUCCCGGGUGGGUAGUUUGAGAAACUGCCUCCUGGUGGACCUUCUCCUAGCAGGUCCUGACAGGCGGAGUGGGGGAUGCUGACUGGAGGGGUAUGCCUUCCAAGCUGCAGCGGGGGUCCCUUGUCGCUCUGCCCAGGAUCUUGAGGUGACAGGCAGAGAUCAGUGGCUCCCGGGGGGCACCAGAUGCACCGAUGGCAGAGGGGCAGGGUUGGGGCUGGUGGUGGUGGGAGCAGGCAGGCGCUGGGGCAGGGAGGGGAGCUGGCUGGCAGAGGGUGGAGGGGUGUGGCAAAAUAGCCGGAGAGAAGGAAGCGAGAGACUGGGCUGGGGUCCCCCGCAGGUGCAUAAUGAGUGCUGAGGCGGGGGCUGUGUGGGGCUUCAGGAUAGGCGGUGCUCCAGGCGUACAGACACCACCUGGUGGCCAGAUUGGGACACAGACCUCCUACUCGGCAACCACGGAUUCUGUUUCCCCGCAGUUGCCCAUCCAGGGCCCUUUUGAAGGCAGGGGAGGAUCUCAGAGUUGGCUUGGAGGAUGAGGUUGGAGAGAGCUUCUGAAGGCUAAGAAGGGAAGGGGAGGGCUCCUCUUUCCACAGGUGCCUAGACUUGUAGCUUCCCCAAGGCAGAAGGAAGCCUGGGAGGAAUCUCCUGGAGUUGAACCAGUGAGGGAGGAGGAAUGAAAGGCAGCACUUCCUGGUUGGGAGUUGGGUAAGGGAUCUUCAGACAUUUGCAGCCACCCUUCCUGAGCUCAUAUUUGCUGUACUGGGACUCAAACCCUCUCUAGUCCUGGGCAGUGUAAACUGUGCAACUUUCUGCAAGAAGUUUCCCCCUCUAGGCAGGGGUUGAAAUGGACCUGGACACUUUUGAUUGACAGUUUUUUCCUGUUACCCCCUGGAAUGACUGAAAUGAUUGGUGAGCUGGAGCUGCUGGGGGCCUAGAGGGCCUGGCAAACUGGUCUUCCCAGCUCUCCUUUACCCCAGGAGAAGCAGAUCUUCCAUGUCAAGUCCAGUGCCACCCGCUUCCCGGGCACAGUAAGAUGGAGAGGGGGAGGGCCCUGGGAGAAGGGCACUAAAAACCACGCGCCAGCCUGCCUCCAGCACGGGGCAGGUCUCCCUCUGGUGGCCGAAGCAGGAAAGCGCAGCCCCAGCUCCCAGCGUCUCUCACACACAGGCAGACACCAGCGGCUUUUUUUCUUUCUUUUUUUUUUUUUUGGCCUUUUUUUUUUUUUUUUUUUUUACAAUUUUAUUUAUAACAAUAUCUGUGUUAUUUAGUUGUAAAGGAAUUCAGCAAAAAUUAUUAAAACGUUCACGUCCCCAAAACGGGGCUGCCCGCUUUCCCUUCCUGGGUGUGGCCCACCUCCUUGGUGCCCCUGGAGUUGGGG